Molecule: long non-coding RNA, 473 nt
Filed under: Lathyrus oleraceus (garden pea)
Lineage: Eukaryota; Viridiplantae; Streptophyta; Magnoliopsida; Fabales; Fabaceae
Description: Pisum sativum (pea) long non-coding RNA (PSAT_LNC013788)
Source: RNAcentral
AUUGCUUUCAGAUCUGAGUUCUCAUCAGAUUCUAUUGUUGGAAUGAAACACAGUUGUAUUGUUUUAGAGUGAAAGUAUGAAACAUGAUUCUAUUGUUGGAAUGGUUCACGCUUUUUUGGAAUGCAACACACUUUUUUUCUUCGUAAUUAGACCUCUUGGAUUGUAGAUACAUGUUUUAAUCAAUGAAAUGAAAGGGAUUUAGGGUUGAAUGAAACAAAAGUCUUGCGAUUUUAGUGUUUGUUGAUUUUGUAGAUUUUGUAUAUUUUAUAACAUUUGUUAAUUUUUCAGGUUUGUAUAUUUUUUAAGAUUUGCAGAUUUGGGAUUUUAAUGUUUGUUGAUUUUUCAGAUCUGCAGAUUUUUUAAGAUUUGUAAAUUUAUGGUUUUAAUAUUUGUUGAUUUUUCAGGUUUUUUAAAAUUUGCAGAUUUUGGAUUAUAAUUUUUUUGUUUUUUUUUUCUUUCAAAUUUACAUAUUU